AGAGUUUGAUCAUGGCUCAGGAUGAACGCUAGCGGCAGGCCUAACACGAUGCAAGUCGAGGGGCAGCACGGUGUAGCAAUACACUGGUGGCGACCGGCGCACGGGUGCGUAACGCGUAUGCAACCUACCCAUAACAGGGGGAUAACACUGAGAAAUUGGUACUAAUACCCCAUAACAUCAGGACCGGCAUCGGUUCUGGUUGAAAACUCCGGUGGUUAUUGGAUGGGCAGUGCGUUGUAUUAGCUGGUUGGUGAGGUAACGGCUCACCAAGGCAACGAUACAGUAGGGGGACUGAGAGGUUAACCCCCCACAUUGGUACUGAGACACGGACCAAACUCCUACGGGAGGCAGCA
Molecule: ribosomal RNA, 353 nt
Filed under: uncultured bacterium
Lineage: Bacteria
Description: bacterial SSU rRNA
Rfam family: Bacterial small subunit ribosomal RNA
Source: RNAcentral